GGGAGUGUAGCUCAGAGGUAGAGUGCGUGCCUUACAAGCACAGAGUCGGGAGUUCAACCCUCUCCUCUCCCA
RNAcentral lists this transfer RNA (72 nucleotides) under Phaeophyceae sp. RNAcentral's name for it is "tRNA-Val". It matches the Rfam family "tRNA". From Rfam's summary of the family: Transfer RNA (tRNA) molecules are approximately 80 nucleotides in length. Their secondary structure includes four short double-helical elements and three loops (D, anti-codon, and T loops). Lineage: Eukaryota; Phaeophyceae. The record is from RNAcentral.